RNAcentral lists this ribosomal RNA (502 nucleotides) under Phratora tibialis. Its description in RNAcentral is "partial 12S ribosomal RNA". The record is from RNAcentral. Lineage: Eukaryota; Metazoa; Arthropoda; Insecta; Coleoptera; Chrysomelidae.
AAAUAAUACAAUUAAAUUAUUUUAGUUUUAAUUAAUUGAUAAUAAAAAAAUUUUAAUAAAAGAUUUAUUAAGUGAAAUUUUAAAUUUUUUUAAGAUUAAUAAUUUUUGAUGAUUUAAUAAAUUUUAAUUUUAAACUAGGAUUAGAUACCCUAUUAUUUAAAACUUAAUUUUAAAAACUAAAUUAGUAUUAGUUAAAUUCUUGAAAAUUAAAGAUUUUGGCGGUAUUUUAGUCUAUUCAGAGGAACCUGUUCUAUAAUCGAUAAUCCACGAUUUUAUUUACUUUUUUUAUAUUAAUUUAUAUAUCGUCGUAGUUUGAAUAUUUUAUAAGAAGUUAAAUAUUCAAGAUUUUUAUAAUAAAAGAAAUCAGAUCAAGGUGUAGUUUAUAAAGAAGAAGAAAUGGGUUACUAUAAUUAAAAUUUAAGAUAAUUAUUUUUAUAAUAAUUUGAAUAAGGAUUUGACAGUAAUUUUAAUUAAUUUGUUAAAAUGAUUUUAGCUCUAAAAU